Molecule: long non-coding RNA, 392 nt
Organism: Daphnia magna
Lineage: Eukaryota; Metazoa; Arthropoda; Branchiopoda; Diplostraca; Daphniidae
Exons: 2
Source: RefSeq, a predicted model, not a curated record
GCAGGGAGGAUUUGAACAAAACAGGACAAGAGGUUUCUUCAAAAUUCACAAUGUCCUGAUUCAUGAUCAUAUUGAAUUGGAAGAGGGUCUUGACUGAGGCUUGGUGGAAAAAUAUGACAUUUUCGUUAAAGACAAAAUUAAAUUGCAUAUCUGGGCUGCGUCCUUUUCUGUGGUCCCGUUUCUCCGUGACUCAUAAAAAACCUGUGGAGGAUCACGCCCCUACUGUAUGGUAUGUAUGAAAAUAACAUGUACCGAAGUUUGGAGGGCUCUGAUCAAAAGGGGACGUAGGGAUCCCCAUAGUUCGAUAACAUCAUUAGAGGGCUCUGUCGAUACCCUCUUCAUGUGAAUGUGUUGAACAUUGUCAAUAAUAAAUUUUCUCUAAUAAUUUUUAA